Molecule: unclassified non-coding RNA, 4780 nt
Filed under: Hevea brasiliensis (rubber tree)
Lineage: Eukaryota; Viridiplantae; Streptophyta; Magnoliopsida; Malpighiales; Euphorbiaceae
Source: RNAcentral
UGAAAUUUAAGCAAAAUAUCAACAAACACGUUUACUUUACUAACGUUUUUUUUUUUUAAAUAAAAUAAAUACAAAAAGGCUUUAUUUUUUCAAUAUAAAACAGAGCUUCUACUCAUAAGUCUCUCUUCUUAUCUCUCUUCUUAUGGUUAACCAACAAAACCCUAUCCCUACUAAGAUAUCUUUCUCGGCUCUUCAGUUAACCACCUUACGAUAGUAAUACUAUUUUUCCACAAAAUAUUAAAAUAUUGUUAUAGCACUGUAAUACUAAAGUCCAAACAUAUACAAAAACUACACCGCGAAUAGACAAGGCCAAGUGGAAUCUCACUGAACUACACAUUAUAUCCUGGAAGGCCAGAACAUGGCAAUGCUGAAGCUGAAAUAACUUCCCUAACGAACUCCACAGUAGCCUUGGAUGGAGCUGGGGAAAUUAGCUAUCCACGAAAUCACCUACAUGGACGUCUAAUAUAUACAUGCGAACAUGAGACAUGUACAGUUGCACCUACUUCACAAACUUUUUAGGACUGUGUACGCAGAAACAUGAAUGUCACAGCACUCUGAAUCCCAGGAGAAGUCCAUUGCCAUGGAAGUUACCAUACUUUGCUUCCAUUUUGAUGGGUUGUAUUUAAUUUCGUUAAGGGCCUCACUAAGAGACAUAUUUCCAAAGGUAGAGCUAAUAAACUGGGAGAAUUUAGUGGCCUCUUGAUCAUGAUCUGCAACAGGUCUGAAUCUGUUCUCAUUGGAUGCUACUGCAAUUGGAGCUGCUCCAUAUUUCAAAGCUUUGAGCGGCAUUUGGAGCAAAGGAUCAUGAAAAGAUUGGCAGAGUAUUAUGUCAGAUCCUGCAAUGAUUAGAUGUGAUAGAGCUUCAUCAUAUUUGUUCAUGAAUCUCAUAUUUUCACCCUGCGAAUAUUGGAGAAAACCAAAAGCAAAGCAUUAAAGGUUGGCCAAAAACUCUUCUUUUUUUGGGGGUCAUGGGUGGGUGGGUUGGUUAGGCAUGGAUGAAGAGAGUAGAAUUGACUGCGAGUUAAAAGAAGCAAAUUGAAAACUCUGCAACUUAGAACCUGAAAUUGUGACCCAAUUUGCAUUCAGCUAAUAUGGUGGGUACUUCACUGAUAGUUUUGAAAGAAAAAGCAUGUCCCCUUGAUGCUUACUCAGUUUGUGCUGAGUGGAUGAUUGUAAUUUGCAGCAAGAUAUCAUUGAAGAGGCUGCUUUGCUUAUUUUCUUAAUGAAGUUCACUUCCUUACUAUAAAAUAACAGUAAAGAGAAAAUUAAAAAGAGAGGUAUGCUGCUAUUGUGUACCUGGAGCGCUUUCUGAAGAGAUUCUAGUGCCCUGUUUGCACUAGGCAUUUUGCUUCCCAUGAAGAUAAACUGUGGACAAUAACUGAACAAAUCAAAUUCACAUGAAAGCCUCUUCAGGACUGAAAAUUAACAAUGAAAACACCACAAAUUCACAGAAAGCCUAUACUGACUGAUAAACUGUGAAUUAUUGUUUAUAUUAGUUUCUGUAAGUACUCCUAUCACAUCAGCCAGUAAGGAGUUCUGUCAGCACUGAACAAAUAAGCAUUGCAUUUUUCCCUUACACAAUGGAAAUGCAUGAUCCUGAUAGAAGUAAGAACCUGGACAGAGUUCCUGGUAGCAUUCCAAACAACGGCCUUCAGGUUAUCCACUUCAAAAUCUGAUAAUUCUGAGAAGAUGCAUCCUACCUGUAUCAUUUUUUUUGUUUAAUUUUUAGGUAUCAUUCUGACCAACAAAAACAAAAAUACAUGAAAAUGAAAGUGGUACAAACUUCAUGCAAUACCAGCUAUAUGUGCACACCUAACACAAACUAUUGGCAAGGAAAUCCAUAUUGGCAAGGAAUUCCAUUCACAUAUUCAAUAAGCAUAUAAGACUAGUAUUUUGAUUAAAGAGAACAUAUUUUUGAGGAAUUCAAGGCCAAAAAAAAGCCUCACAUUGAUCACAUCAGGAUUGAUUGAGAGCCCAAGCUCUGAUCUGAGUGAUGCUACUUGCUGGUACAAAAUAGCAGGACAGUUGAUCGCCAACUGCAUGUGGUUGGUGUACCAUCGUGUCUCAUAAGAAUAAAUCAAGCAAUGGUAGCAUAUGUCGUGUUACUCCAAUUGAAUCUACAUGUCAUAUUGGCAACUUAGUGUAAUGGACCACUCUGAUGAACUGACCCAUGCUAAGACAAUUGCCCAUAAUUAAUGCACCAGUCCCAGAGACUCAUUUUCAGGACACCCAACUUAACUAACACAAACAGUAUGCUAAGGACAAUAAUAAGCCACAACAUGACCUAUGAACUUGCAUCAGCAAUUAGGGUUGGAUUCUUAGUACAUUCCUGAAGUGGCAACUUCAGAAAACCUGCCUUAGGAUUUUACCAUUAUCGUUCAUUCCUGAGUCACCCAUCCAGCAAACACUGAACCCCAAUCACUAUCAGUUACUUCAUCUCUCUUGAAUUUCCCCAAACAUUCUUUUCAGUCUCCUACAAUUGGUCUAGCUUCUUAGUUGAUCCAAAUUUAAUCCACCUCAACUCAUUUGAUAACUCCACAUCAAGCAUAACACAAACACAAAUGUGUACCCAAUGACAUAUACAAGCACCUUAUUGCAAAUAUUGUAAGUGACAAAUACUAAAUUUCCAUUGUUGCGAUAUCAGUUCUCGCUAUCCUAUAAUAACUCUUCAACAAACAAGUAUACAGGAUGCUAAAAGUUCAUGAACUUAAGAUGCCAGUUUUCCAGACAAAUAAGUGCAUUUUCUUGACAGCAAUCUUCUCAAGCAAGUAGUACAGAAUCAAUGAUUUAUAUUUAUCUAAUUCUUCAGAACACAAAGAGAACAUGAAAAAUUGAAAACCAAAGUUUCAAGAUCUUAUAUGCAACUCUUACAAGAACGGUAGAAGAAUUUUCAGAUAACCCCAGGCGUUGUUGCAAUGCAACUCUGCAAACAGCUUUCCCCUUCAAGUCAUCUUCACUAUAAUUUUGGGGAAGAAAUUUGUCUUUGGAAGGAUCCCAGGUGGAGUUGUCAAAUCCACAAGGAGUAACAAGCAACUUGUCACUAUAACCGAGAGUUGAUAUUAGCAUGUAUUAAACGAAAAAAUGAGAGAGAUGGGAAAAGGAGGCCGGAGGGGGUGGGGUGGGGGGGGGUGUUGGGGAAGAAAAGAAUUUGUGCAGAAAAAACAUGCAAGAAGGAACAAAAAGCAACUCUAUUCACCAAUCAAUUUGUUUUAUUUAGAGAUUUCUGCUCCAUUUCAGUUUACAUGGCAAAGGAAGGAAAAGUAGCAGAAUCAAACAUCGACUGCUGCAUAACUUACCUGUGAAUGGAUAGGGUAGGUUCUAAUCCAUGAUUCAAACUAUGAAUAAUCCUGUUUUUUGAAUUCAUGGAUGACACUAUUGCAACUUUAUUAGAGUACACAACUCCACCCUUCAGAAUAUUGACAAGAUGUGUCUUAGCAUUAUCUUGCAAGCGAUCAGGACGAUGAAGCCUACUAGGAUCAAGUCCACAAAGUGCUAGCUUAUCAGGUCGCUCAAGGCACUGUGAAUCAAAGCCAUGACAUGUCAACAAUAUUCUGGUACCUCCAAGCCCCUGUUUAACGAAAAUAUCCCAGAAAAGUGGUCCAACAAUAGCAGUCUCCCAGUUAUGUAUGUGUAACACAUCAGGCUGCUUUCCAGAUUUUGUUAUAUAAUCCAAUGAAGCACGAGAAAAAUAGGAAAACCGUUCAAAGUCAUCUGAGUAGCCAUAUACCUUCUCACGGUUAAAAAAGGAAGAGUAGUACAAAGGUUGAAUAAAAGUAACUCCUAUGCCAUUGACAACUCCUGUCCAAAUUUUGUUUCCAUGCAAUUGACCAUCAAAAUAAGAAUAAGACUCUGCCUCAAUUUCUCUCAACCCUUGAAUUUCACUGAGGUUCAGACAUGCAUACUUUGGCAAAAUAACCUCUACCAAGUGGCCUGCUUUCAGUAGUGCACAAGAUAAUCCUGUCACAUAUGAUGCCAAGGAUCCAACCUCUACGACUGGUGCCAUUUCAGUACAAAUAUGGAUAAUGUGAAAACCACUCUUUUUGCUCCCAUAUGAGAAGUGACGAAGUUCUGACAGAAGCUCAGCAUCACUUUUCUGCACAUUGUCAAAGGAAAUAUCAGCUACACUAAUUUUGUAAUCCAUGACAGCCUUUCUCAAAUUCGACGCCUCUGCAGUGUUAAUCAUGCCAGUGAGGACCAUCGAGUCAAUCCGAAGCAGCAAUUCGCAGCACAAAGAUUGUUUAUCUUUUCCUACACCAGCUCGUUUUUCUGCCUCCAAUUGCUCUAUUCUGUCAAGCAACAACUGUUUCUCUUGGUUUGCUCUGUUUAAUUCUUCAACAGCCAGGAGACGUUGAUUGUUUAAGUAUAAAAUAUUCUGCUGAGCCUCUUUGAAGAGCUGCCAUAUAUGAUUGUGUUUCACUUCUGAUUCAAAAUCAGAUUCCUUAAAAUUUUCCUGAGGCAUCUCUGCAUUGUCAUGACCUUCUACCUCCAAUUUUGAGUGAGCUCUAAAUAAGCCAUUGGCAUCCCCGUUCUUCCUCAAGAAGCGAAAGCGAAGUGAAGGAGCUUUAAAGGGUUUCCAGUGUGCAGUGUUGGAUUUGGGGAAAGGAAGAGGAUAAAGGAUAGCGGCAUUUAUGGAAAUCUCCAUUAUUGAGGUUAGUUGUAGCAGUCCAGAAGCAGAACCAGAAGCAGAGAGAAAGAUUGAUCAAAUAAUAACGAUGAUGACUUGGCAGCGAUCGUUUUCCAAAUCACCGCUAUCACUGCAACGCCCAAGGUAAGAUUGCUU